Molecule: ribosomal RNA, 433 nt
Filed under: uncultured bacterium
Lineage: Bacteria
Description: partial 16S ribosomal RNA
Rfam family: Bacterial small subunit ribosomal RNA
Source: RNAcentral
AACGAACGCUGGCGGCAUGCCUAACACAUGCAAGUCGAACGACACCUUCGGGACUAGUGGCGCACGGGUGCGUAACGCGGGGGAACCUGCCCUUAGGUUCGGAAUAACUCCCCGAAAGGGGUGCUAAUACCGGAUAAUGUCUUCGGACCAAAGAUUUAUCGUCUUUGGAUGGGCCCGCGUUGGUUUAGCUGGUUGGUAGGGUAAAAGCCUACCAAGGCGAGGAUCGUUAGCUGGUCUGAGAGGAUGAUCAGCCACACUGGGGCUGAGACACGGCCCGGACUCCUGCGGGAGGGAGCAAUGGGUGAUAUUGGACAAUGGGCGAAGGCCUGAACCAGCAAGGCCGCGUGAGUGAUGAAGGCCUUAGAGUAGUAAAGCUCUUUUACCCGGGAUGAUAAUGACGGUACCGGGAGAAUAAGCUCCGGCUAACUCCGUG